Molecule: ribosomal RNA, 157 nt
Filed under: Aspergillus sp. P1BL2c
Lineage: Eukaryota; Fungi; Ascomycota; Eurotiomycetes; Eurotiales; Aspergillaceae
Description: Emericella sp. P1BL2c 5.8S ribosomal RNA
Rfam family: 5.8S ribosomal RNA
About the family: 5.8S ribosomal RNA (5.8S rRNA) is a component of the large subunit of the eukaryotic ribosome. It is transcribed by RNA polymerase I as part of the 45S precursor that also contains 18S and 28S rRNA.
Source: RNAcentral
AAACUUUCAACUCUGGAUCUCUUGGUUCCGGCAUCAAUGACAAAUGUAACGAACUGAUAUAAGUAAUGUGAAUUGCGGAAUUCAGUGAAUCAUCGAGUCUUUGAACGCACAUUGCGCCCCCUGGAAUUCCGGGGGGCAUGCCUGUCCGAACGUCCUU